GCGAAUAAUAUCUACCUGAUUUACUCACACGCGCAAGCAAACAAAACUAAAUGGUUAAAUUUACACAACAGAGGUAGUCCGAAGAUUGUUUGUAAACUCUGGUAUAAAACUCUGAGUUUGUUUUGAACUUUGUUUCACAAAUAUUGUUGUACGUGCACUUCGUUUCAUAUGGGACAGUCAAUUCAAUCACGUGCCAAUCCGUUUUAUAGCGAAUCGU
Paramuricea clavata is the source of this 217-nucleotide non-coding RNA. Lineage: Eukaryota; Metazoa; Cnidaria; Anthozoa; Malacalcyonacea; Plexauridae. The record is from the annotation of a GenBank genome assembly.